AUUGAACGCUGGCGGCAGGCCUAACACAUGCAAGUCGAACGGUAACAGGAAGCAGCUUGCUGCUUUGCUGACGAGUGGCGGACGGGUGAGUAAUGUCUGGGAAACUGCCUGAUGGAGGGGGAUAACUACUGGAAACGGUAGCUAAUACCGCAUAACGUCGCAAGACCAAAGAGGGGGACCUUCGGGCCUCUUGCCAUCGGAUGUGCCCAGAUGGGAUUAGCUAGUAGGUGGGGUAACGGCUCACCUAGGCGACGAUCCCUAGCUAGUCUGAGAGGAUGACCAGCCACACUGGAACUGAGACACGGUCCAGACUCCUACGGGAGGCAGCAGUGGGGAAUAUUGCACAAUGGGCUCAAGCCUGAUGCAGCCAUGCCGCGUGUAUGAAGAAGGCCUUCGGGUUGUAAAGUACUUUCAGCGGGGAGGAAGGGAGUAAAGUUAAUACCUUUGCUCAUUGACGUUACCCGCAGAAGAAGCACCGGCUAACUCCGUG
RNAcentral lists this ribosomal RNA (490 nucleotides) under uncultured bacterium. Its description in RNAcentral is "partial 16S ribosomal RNA". It matches the Rfam family "Bacterial small subunit ribosomal RNA", at positions 30 to 507 of the family's 1533-position model. The record is from RNAcentral.